This 492-nucleotide ribosomal RNA is filed under the name uncultured bacterium. RNAcentral's name for it is "partial 16S ribosomal RNA". It matches the Rfam family "Bacterial small subunit ribosomal RNA", at positions 29 to 507 of the family's 1533-position model. The record is from RNAcentral.
AGUGAACGCUGGCGGUAGGCCUAACACAUGCAAGUCGAACGGCAGCACAGUAAGAGCUUGCUCUUACGGGUGGCGAGUGGCGGACGGGUGAGGAAUACAUCGGAAUCUACUUUUUCGUGGGGGAUAACGUAGGGAAACUUACGCUAAUACCGCAUACGACCUACGGGUGAAAGCAGGGGAUCUUCGGACCUUGCGCGAUUGAAUGAGCCGAUGUCGGAUUAGCUAGUUGGCGGGGUAAAGGCCCACCAAGGCGACGAUCCGUAGCUGGUCUGAGAGGAUGAUCGGCCACACUGGAACUGAGACACGGUCCAGACUCCUACGGGAGGCAGCAGUAGGGAAUAUUGGGCAAUGGGCGCAAGCCUGAUCCAGCCAUACCGCGUGGGUGAAGAAGGCCUUCGGGUUGUAAAGCCCUUUUGUUAGGAAAGAAAAGCAGCAUGUGAAUACCCCGCUGUUCUGACGGUACCCAAAGAAUAAGCACCGGCUAACUUCGUG